UUGAGUAGGUGCAGUUAAAGCAUCUCAGAUCAGGCUUAGGCACUGCCAAAAUUACUGCUUCUGAACUUCCUUCCACUCACCUUUCAGGUGUUUUGGUUUCUGCAUUUAUGAAACGAGAAUUAAUGAUCUGAAUCACAGGUGAGAUGAGAGAGUAAAUGGGAGGUGCUGAGACAAGGAGAUGGAGUUUGUUAUUGCCAGUUCUGAGUGCAGAUCUCCUUCUGUGUGGGAAGACAACUAAAGCUCUUUGCUAAUUAAUUAAGCUUUGCAAUACUCAAGGAAGCAUGGGGAUGGAUUCCAAGGCACAGUGAAUGAGACCAAGCAUUUGGACACAGGAAUAAGAUACAAUAGAGAACUUAAAAAGCUGAAAGAAAGGAAGAGGUGGUAGCUGUAAUGAGACAAAUCUGAAAAGCAUGACAGGAAGCAGUUCUGGCAUCAGCAGCCUCAUGUGCCAUGUCACACCACUGAUGGAUUUUGGAAAGGAAAGGCAUGACAGCAUUUAAAAAUAUGGCAGCAGAGGGGCAGUCUUACAAAAUGGCAUCUAACACGGAAGUGUGUAUGAAGGUUUGAAACUGAAUUCCUCCGUGUGAGAAAAAAUUGCAGCCGCUGACAUUCAUAGAUGCUUGCUGAACGUUUCUGGAGACCAAACAGUGGAUGUGAGCACAGUGAGGCAGUGGGCACUGCACUUCAACAGCAGUGACAGCAGUCACCUCCGCUGGUGCAGCCUGAGUGCAGCAUGCAGGCUCUUGUUUAUUGCUGCUGAAAAUGCACAGCUAAUGGUGGUGACUGUGUUGGAAAAAGAAGUGUUUUGCAGCUGAGAGUUUGCUCUAUUCAGUAACACUGCUGUGUUCUACCUGUUGUAGUUUCCACGGAAAUAAACAGCAGGCACUGCUUUAUGAGAAACCUACCUAUGCGAAGUCUUACUACACUCCUAUUUAAAAAAAAAAAAAAAAAAAAAAAAAGGUAAAGCACGAUUUUUAUUUUAAACCUGAACUGCUGUUCUCCUCUUAAAACGAACCUGUAGCUGAAACCACAGGAGCUGACGUCUUCUGCUGAAGAAUAAAAGCGGAGCACAACGUACCGCAGCGCUCCUCAUCAGCUCCCAUUCAAAAAGCUCAACCGAAAUCUACGGGACCGCUUGUGCGCCCCCGUGCCGGCCGGCAGGACGGCUGCUGACAGCCCGCAGCGCUUCUGGACGGAAGACGCAGCAACGCGCGCUGGCAGCACAGCUUAAAACCCAUCUAUUUUAAAACUUCUUCCUCACGCGAAAGCCAACACGUCUUCAGGCAGCAGCUGUGCAGCAGCAAGCCGAGAUAAAGAGGCCGAGUCCGCGGCGCCAAUGGGACAGCGCGGACGGGGAAGCGGCGAGCGGCUUCCUGCCCAGUGCCGCAGCAGCGGGAGGAAAAGGAGCAGCAGCAGCUCGAGGCGGCGGCUGUGCCCGGGGUGGCGGAAGGCGGCCGCACGUGCUGGCAGGAGCCGUGGAGCCGGCGGG
Tympanuchus pallidicinctus (lesser prairie-chicken) is the source of this 1489-nucleotide long non-coding RNA. RefSeq lists it as uncharacterized. Lineage: Eukaryota; Metazoa; Chordata; Aves; Galliformes; Phasianidae. The record is from RefSeq and is a predicted model, not a curated record. The transcript has 3 exons.